This 253-nucleotide ribosomal RNA is filed under the name uncultured bacterium. RNAcentral's name for it is "partial 16S ribosomal RNA". It matches the Rfam family "Bacterial small subunit ribosomal RNA", at positions 524 to 776 of the family's 1533-position model. The record is from RNAcentral.
UACGAAGGGGGCUAGCGUUGUUCGGAAUCACUGGGCGUAAAGCGCACGUAGGCGGAUUGUUAAGUCGGGGGUGAAAUCCUGAGGCUCAACCUCAGAACUGCCUUCGAUACUGGCAAUCUCGAGUCCGGAAGAGGUUGGUGGAACAGCUAGUGUAGAGGUGAAAUUCGUAGAUAUUAGCUAGAACACCAGUGGCGAAGGCGGCCAACUGGUCCGGUACUGACGCUGAGGUGCGAAAGCGUGGGGAUCAAACAGG